Molecule: unclassified non-coding RNA, 339 nt
Filed under: uncultured fungus
Lineage: Eukaryota; Fungi
Description: sequence contains ITS2
Source: RNAcentral
AACGCACCUUGCACUCUUUGGUAUUCCAAGGAGCAUGCCUGUUUGAGUGUCAUGAAAAACUCAACCUGUUUUGGCUUUUUUUUCAAAAGCUUUAAAAGCAGGCUUGGAUAUUGGGAGUUUAUGCUGGCUAUCUGAUGAUGUCGGCUGUCCUUGAAUGCAUUAGCAGGAUUAUUGCACAGUGUUGCUGGUCAUCAAUUUUGGUAUGAUAAGAAUAUCUAUGUCAAUUGUUGAGACUGCUACAAUUUUCUUUCUCUCAAAAGAAAAUUGAUCUUGCUUUCUAAAAUAAUAAUUGUUGAUGAUUUUGACCUCAAAUCAGGUAGGACUACCCGCUGAACUUAA